Long non-coding RNA from Siniperca chuatsi (mandarin fish), 8615 nucleotides. RefSeq lists it as uncharacterized. The record is from RefSeq and is a predicted model, not a curated record. The transcript has 2 exons. NCBI's taxonomy places the organism in Eukaryota, Metazoa, Chordata, Actinopteri, Centrarchiformes, Sinipercidae.
UAGGGUGGGUGAGGGUGUGGACAUGGGUGUAGUUAGGGGAGGGUAGGAAAUACAUAGUACACACUUUUAUAAUACUUGAUUAUCAUCUGUUCUUCAGGCUGGACUAGUUUGUCCUUCGUCACAAUAAACAAAAAAUACAUUUUAUAGUUAGGAAUUAAGUGAAAUUAAAUGAUGAAUCCAAAACUGACAAAGGCAAAUCUGUGUUCCACUUCCUGGUGCAUAAACACAAAUAACUAUACAAAUGCAUCAUGUCUAAAUCUCUAAACAGCAUUCAUCCAAACAGGCUAAAUAAUAAGCAGUGUCGAACAGGCAUUGCUUGGUUCACUUGGUAAUACAUGGUGUAACUAAUUUGUGUCUCAUUUCAUCAAACAAAUGCGUUUUAGUCUCUAAAUGUAUUAUCUAUAUAUAAACAGAUAUUUUCUGCACAGCGGGACAAUCAGGUUGAAAGAAACCCAAUGAAAGCCAAAUGAGUGCAUCUCCUGUGUGCCUGAGCUUCACACGGGCAAUUAGGUAAACAACAUUCAUAUGAGACUGAGGCUUUAAUUAUUGUGCUUCUUGCACGACUUGGUGUCUAGUUAGUGUUAUUUUGACUCAAGACUCUUUGCAUCUCUUUGUAGUAAUUGUGCGUAUCUUUGUAGUGGUUUUGAGUCUCUUUGUAGUAAUUGUGCGUAUCUUUGUAGUGGUUUUGAGUCUCUUUGUAGUAAUUGUGCGUAUCUUUGUAGUGGUUUUGAGUCUCUUUGUGGUCGUUUGAUUGACUUUCCAACAAGAAAUGUCAACAGUCACUUCAUACAGCUUCAUACAGACGUUCAGCCCAGGGGCCCAGGGCCUGCACGCAGUAGGUCUGUUCAAUAAUCCACCCAUGAUACUAACAAGCCAACUACCUAUCAACCUUCUGACUCUGGUGGUGGUGGUGGUGGGGGGCACCAGGGGUCGCCAAUCAGAUUCCAGGGGCCCGUGCCACCCUUGGCCACCCUUCUGGCCCCGCCCCUGCCUUGAGUGACCUUGUGCACAGAAACUGGUUGUAUGUGCAGGUGAAUGUAAACUGAUAACCAUGAACUCUUGUUUGUCCACAAUCUGCCAGCUGCUCCACAGCCAAGAAGGAAUGUAAAUUAUGUCUCAACUAUGUUGUUCUAUUAUAUGUUGACAGAUACACUAUAAAGACAUUUUGUUACUGCUUCUUCAUCUGCACCACGGUACCUCUACAAUCUGCUACAGAUGGUGUGUCUGCUGGGCUGGAAACACGAGGUGUGGUGGGUUUGAUGUUUCUACCAGUGGCCUGUUGCCACGCGAUGUGUGAGCCACGGGGGAGAGACUGACCGACGUCUGUCUGAAUAACUGUCCACAGGGAUAACUGUCUGACUGGGAGACAUUUUGAAGGACGGAGCUGACUGUUGGUCUGAUUGACUGAACAACGCUCUGCAGGAUGGACUGUCUGUGAACCUGAAUGACUGCUGAAGGAGUCAGAUUAGAUAGGAAGAUGAGAAGAAGUGAGGGAUAGGAGAAACAGGGAUGAGAAAGACAAAAAGAGAGAAGAAACUACAGCAGAAGCAAUUAAAAAAAGGAAAGCAGUGCAAAGCUGCUGUGGAGAAAUAAAAAGACAAGGAGAUAAACAGAGCUAAAGGCAAUGAAAGAGAGUGAUUGGAGUGAGGACAAAGAACAAAAGGGAAAAGGAGGACAGAGAGGAGUGUGUGGGAGCAGUGAAGAGCUUAGAGAAGAGAGCCCGAGCCCAUAACAACUGUCUACUGUCCUCCUGACACGCACCCCCACACCUCCCCCUCCACCUCCCCCAGCGCAGUCGAUAAACAGCCUGCAGCCACUGACCCACACCGACACAAGCAGUCCAGACACUGGCAGCCAGGAAAGGCUGUGGGAGCCGGGCCAAUCUGGUACAGCCAAAACAAGCCUCUCUGAACAAGGACAGGAGACAGGAACCUAAAAAUGUAAAAUAAAGAUAAGGAGGAGAGGGAUCGGAGCUGAAAGUUUCAAGAACGUCCUUGAAACAAAAAAAGAGCAGGAUCACUGAUCUAUGACAGCAUCUACUGCUGAUGCAUUUCACAUCUGAGGCACAGGUGUUAAGGAUGAGGACUGUGUGUAGGAACUUGCCUGUUUAAAUUAGCUCUUCAUCCACUUAAACUGAACACACCUCACCUACACAACUGCACUUCAUCGCUCCACUUCCCGGCGAGUCACUUCCCAAUGACUCAUCCAAGCUGGCCCUCCUGCUCCAAGGUUAAAUAUGGAAAGAGGAGCAGCCUUUUCCACCCAAAAAAAAAAAAAAAAAAAAGCUAACACUGACUAGAACACACCUGGGACCAGAAACAUACACGCUCUCAGCACACAGCUGUGUUAGAAAGCAGCUACAGAUGUCAAAACAUGUCCUCCCUCAAAGAAAUGCACGACAAACACUGUCUCCCUAUUCCCUCUCAUUAAGUCUGGCACAUCUGAGAAAUGGGUGUUAUGUGUUGGCAACAAAAUACCACCCAUCACACGUCCCACACAGUCCACAUCGGAGAGGACUGUGAAGACACACUUGCUGUCCAUCAGCUGAGAGCUGUUGCUCAUAAGGCAACACAAGGUGACAGAACCUGCACAGUCAUGCUACGUCAGUGAAUCACCGGAUCCAAACCUCCAAUCAAUCACAGAUCAUGCUGCCAACUCUUCUCUCUCUUCCCUGUGGUUCUUCCCGGACUACCUGUGCUGCUCACUCCUUCCUGCUACAUACUGCUACUGGCUGCUAGCGCUGCUUUCUCUCUCCAACACCUGCAGCUGUCUGGUUCCUUAUAAAUAAUACUUUAAUUACCAAUGACAUGCUGCAUAUCGGCUGGUGUUUGUUGGCCUGCCCCAUGCCUGUUCACUGCACUCCAGGUUGAGUUUCCCUAUAACCUUUUUAUACAACAAGAGUUUUACCUUCAUGAAACAAGUGUUUUGACUUUUCAUCUAGCAGCUGCACACUGCAUCUCCAAACACACAGGAAUACAAACACAAGUGAGGCAUUUGUUAUCUCAUUUCAGUUAUUAUAUGGACACUAACUGAUCUAAAAGAACUGCAGAAACAAAAGAUCACUUUCUUGAUGAACGCUGUAGCACAUUUUGUCUUUAUUGCACUCUGAAUUAUCUGGCCAUUUACCAUGCGGAUGCCUGAGGAAUUUUCACUUGCUUAUUUUUACAGCGACUCUUAGUGCACUGUAAGCCACUCUGAAUAUCUGCUAAAUGCCUGACUAAAACUGUAAAUUGUAAUAUCUCCCUCCUUUAUUUCUACGUUAACCGGCUUGCUGACAAAGAUUUAUCAUACCGUCCACUGACUGGAAGAACUUAAGAUCACGAUGGUAUUGUUAAAGUGCUUCUACAGUAAAAAAAUAAAUCAAAAAUAAAUUUAAAAAAAAAUCAAAAGAAGUCUUCCCAAAACUUCCGAGAGUGAGCACUGAGUUCUCUGAGAGGUGUUAAUCAGACAAUUUGACUCUAUUUGGUACAGUGAUGUACAUACAGCUGACAGAUCAAUACAGUUUUAGGCUAGCGAAGUUCAGGCAGCAUCAUCCUGCCACAGCCACCUCACAUAUUUCAAGUGAAUAUUUCUUUUCCGGGCGGCUGCUUUCUUUGCACUACUAAACUCCUCUAAUAUAUGACCAGUGUUUGUCCUGCACUGGCCUCCAAGGCAUCCAGUAUUUUCUCAGCUGGUGCUGGAGUGUGGUACUAUGAGGGAUGAGGGACUUGCCUGUCUCUUUAUUAUGCCCCAUUUUAACCAUCAACUUCAUACAGAAUUUUCAUUUGAACUGCUAAACCGCACAGGUAAGGUAAGGUAACAGACAGCAGUCGGAGAAAAGAAAAAGGGUGAAACACAACCUCACUGGAAAAUUCUAUAAUGAAGACAAACAGACUUUAUUGACCUCAUUUAAGGUGAGCCAUGACUUGGCAGUGCCCUGAAGUGACCAGAUUCCAGUCAGAGUCUUGGAAACAGGAUUUUCGGUGUGUGUGUGACAUCAAAAGGGAGAGAAAGGCCAUAGUGGACUGGCUGCUGCCCUGAAAUCCAAAGAUGAAAGAGCUGCUGUGCUGGCCUCACACUGCGAGUAACUGCUGUGUGUGUGUGUGUGUGUGUGUGUGUGUGUGUGUAGGAUGGAAGAGUAUUGAAAUGGAUGUACAGGAAGAGACAAGCUGAGGUGAGAAAAGGACAGGAGGGGUGCUGGGGAAAAUAAGGCCGGACGGGGCCACCAGGAGCUUGUCUCCGAGUUUUGCGGAGGUGGAUGGAGCAUGGCAUCACAGUGAUCUACUCUACAGUAAGCUGUGAUGGGGAUUGACAUCGAUGGUGGGGAGAGGAUGUGGUUGUAACAGUGUUAGAUGGCCGCUGUGGUGGGGCUAAAGAAAUCAAUAUCCUUUUAGUUUCCAACCAAUAUUUCUCUCAGAUAAAAGUAGAAGAGGAAAAAUCUAGAAAGAGGCUGUGGCUCCUGUGAAAUAUGGCUUCUAUCCGGGCCACAGCGUGGUAGUGAAGCACAGAGGGACAUACUGUAAAUAUGAGAGGAAUAUACCAAUAAAAGACAUUCUGUGGUAGUCCAUAUAAUUAAAAAGGUAACAUUCCCUAUACAUUUGUCAUUUCUUUAACAAAUUUGGCAACAUUCCUUUUAAAUGUUAUGUAUAUUAGUUGCACUUGUCUCUAUGUAAUAAUAGAGAGGAGGUCUGCAGGUGCCACCCAGCUUUGACCUUGACAGUGACACAUGGUGCAAUCAAAAAUCAAUCCACAGCUCCACCUUGUGGGCAUAGUCGUGUUCUGCAAGAGGGAGUACACAAUUGUUGGGAUUCAUCAAAUGUCAGCAGCCAGAAGUCCUCAAGUGCAGUCUGUACUGUUGUUCAUAUCACCCAAAAUGACAUUUCUAUAAGUUAACCACAAGAUUCUCACUAAAGCACAGUAGUUGCUGGAUUUUUGGAGAUGAAACAUGUUCACUUGAGUGAGCUCAUCACAAACGUACCUAUGUGGCAUCAGAUAUAUAGGUAAUCCAAACUGGUUCUACUUCCUCCACGACUAAUUUUAGAUCACGGCCCAGUGGAAGAGAGGAAGGAAGGAAGGAGGGAGGCGAAAGAGGUGCCAAAAGAGGAAGAGACAGAGAAGGUCACAGUAGUAGCUGUUCUACCACGGUGAGUAAGUGUGUGUGUGUGUGUGUGUGUGUGUGUAUCAGUAUGAGCAGGAGGGUCUGGAUAGGACAAAGAGGACGCGCCUGCCCACACAGAUGACCAGAGAGAGAGUAUGCCAGCGAGUCAGUGGCUGCCAAAUAAUCCAACGACAGCAAGACCGCCAGCCGGAAAGUCAGCCAGCUACCCACACACACACACACACACACACACACACACACACACACACACACACACACACAGUCAGUCAUCCAGACACAGCCAACGAUCGAUGCUUGCAAGAUGUGUUACUUUUUGCUGCCAAUACCAGCAGGCCAGCAGGCAGACCGAGAGCAUGAAGACACUUCAGAGCUGCCUUACUUGGCCUUUAGCUCUAUCAGAGAAACACUGAACAACAUGACUUUUACCUUGCUAACUAAAGCAUGGCCAGUGUUACUCUAUAGACUUUUGAUUUGACACCUCUGUCAAAUAACCCCUCUUUUCCUUUUACUUUCUUACCAUGGAAACUGAAGAUUAUUCAUUUAGUAGGAGACAUAUAUGUUAAACUUUUUCAGUGGUGUUCAGCAAAUACAAUAAAAAAUACAAUUGCCCUAAAAGUCAUCUUUUUCAGUUAUCUUUAAGUAAAAAAUUAUGUCAAACAGCACUUGUGUCACUUCGGAACCUGACAAAUUAGAUGUUAAACUCCAAAAUCUUAAACUCACCCUCCAUGGAGAAAAAUGAAAAAUAUUUCAAGACACCUAGGCCGAGAUAGUUUAUACACAAAUGCUAAAUAAAUGCUAGGCAGUGCUUAAUCCAAUUUAAGAUGUUACACAGGUUAAACCAUUCCAAAAGUAAAACUUCACAGCAUCUUCCCGGAGGUGUCUGCAUAAUGUGAGAAAAAGUAAAUCUGCCAAAGGCACUUUAUAGUAGAUCUAUGUAACUUUGGAAGGAAAAACUAACAAAGUUGAAUUCAUAAGAAAUAAAACGCACCCAUACUGAAUUCAAUACUGUCAGGGGUCUGGGAUGACCAGUAGCGUAUGGUGGCUAAAGCAAUAUUAAGCUAGGUAUUAUCACGGAGUUGGUUUACUGACUCUGUGGCUCUUCUAUAUAUGCGCUACUGUUAAACUACUUUGUAGCAUUUACCACUGGUGGCCACAGUUGUUCCUGUGGUUACCUAGCUGGUUAACUACAAUUUCGUCGGGGGGGGCACAGCGUCAAACUUUGAAAACCCCUAGUCUGUGGAUGCUGGGUAGGGCAGAAGGGUUCCUUUUUUUCUUUCUUAACUUUAUGUAAUUGAUGUACUUUUCAGUUUAUUUUGUCAGCUUGAACACACUUCACUAUACUUUCUAACUUUUAGUGGGUUCAUCAUAUUCUGCUGCACUGGCUUUAUUUUAUGGAAAUUUGAAGCAGACAACUGUGUGAACACUGUCAAAGCUUCAAUAAAAAUAUGUAUGAUAAAAAUACAUAUGAUUUCAGUUUUGAUGUAAAUGAAUAGCCAGGCAAAUUCUAUGCCAGUAAUAUUCUGCAGUGAAAACCCUCUGUUGUGUUUAAUGGCUUUGAUUAUUUGUCAGGACAUGUGAAUCUAAUAGGCUUUUGAAACAUCUGGUGCUAGAUCGGAUUCUUUAUAUAUCCAAAAGUAAAAGAGAGGCAUCUGAAAGUAGUUUCUCUUCAGAGCACUCGUCUUCAUCAGGGUUAUACUAGCUAUUUGCUGCUUGCUUUGCUAUUACUAUACACCUCCCAGAACCAUUUAUUUGGAUAAUAUCCUCAUUGAGACGUGCGUGCCGAGCACCAAAAUAGGCUUGUAAUUAAAGGAUGCCGGGGAUUCUGGAGAAAAAAUAAAGAGAAGCCGAGUGAGUUAUUAAGGUCCUUCCUGUGGUUUAAAAAUCAAAACGGCACCAGGAUGCUGCCUCCUUCUAUAUAACUACCACGUAACACACACACACACACACACAGACGACAAGAGAGAGAGAGAUAGGAGUGUGCAGGCAGACGCACACUUUCACACACAGACAGAUAAACACACACACACAAACAACGCCUCCACAGACACAUACAGAGUGGCACACGGGUGAGGUAAUGUUCCCUCCCUUCUGCCUUCCAAGCACAUUUCCUCUGCCUGGAAUAAUUGCUGCCUGGCUGCUUGUCUGGGAGAGCGAGCUGCUCCGUUCAUUAGUUGCUCUAAACAUCGGACACGGCAUCACUUUUAAAGGCUUAAUUUCACUGCAGUCACAGUCCCGCUCUCUGAUGCUCGCCCGUCGGGAGCCGCAGAAUAGGCUCCUGUUCUUGCAGGCAUGACCUAAAUAGAUAAGCAGCAAAUGAACGGGGCCCUUUCUUCUGGCAACCGCGGAGAAAUUAGCGGACAGAGAUGAGAGCAGACGAAAGGGGAACGCUUGUGGUGGGAGGGCGUCUAAACUCAAGUGGAGCAGCAGUGACAGCGAUGGAGGCAGCAGUAUCCAUUUCCCCCCCCCCCACCAAAAGCGGCAAAACAAGAUGUCCGUUUCCAUGGAGACCAGCAAACAGUCAUAUUCCCUUGGGGACCACUGGGCUUCCUGCGGUGCUUAGUGAUUGGCUCAUUCAGAUGCUGCAGACACAGCACCUAAGGGAGAUGGCUCAUACUGCUGGUCUUAGAGCUUCCUGGACAGGAUGUCUACGGCUGACUGGACCAGACCUGAAGUCUCUUCAGACACAAACAACAUGCCUCUAACCUCCAGCUUGUCUCUAUUUCUAAUGUGACAGUAGUGAAGCUGAGAGGGAGUUUUUUAUACUUACUAAAGUACAGUAUAUGCUAUGUUUAAAGCAGCUUACUUAGGCUACUUUUUAAAGCCAAGUUUGAACAGCAUUGUCCUGGAUGGUCAGAUUUUUUACUGUCCCCUCUUUUAGUUAUGUAGGAUGUUUAUUAGACAGUGAUCUGAGUGGAGAGAGUACGGCAUUGAAGACCCUGGGAAAAUUAAACAAUGGGACUAGGUUUUCGGCUAGAAAAGCUAAUAAACAUGAUAAAAGAAGUCCUUGUUUUGAGCUGCUUUAACUACUCGAUCUGGGAAAAACACAUUUGGGGUUGAUUUUAUUGAUGGAAAUUGAGAUAUUUCUUGUGCUGGUUUGUUGGUAGUAUGACGACACCUUGUGACCUGGACUCCUGCAUCCCUGCUGCCUUUGCAUCAAGGACCACAAAGGAAAUAAAUCUUGGACUUUGUUGUGUCGUUGACAUUUUUGUAGUUGUGUGUGAAUUGAUGUCCUCCUUCUCAUAAUGUCAACUAAACUAAACCUCCAUUGCCUGAAAUCAUUCAGUGCAUUCUGUGUUUACAGUUUUUAAAGCACAAUAGAGAGAACAUACAUGUUCUCUGGGUUAAUGCAAAAGAAGAAAUCAUUUCACAGUCUCACAAGAAGUUCCUCAUCACACAGUGAACAAUGGGGGAAAAAAAGCUAUAAUUGUGAACAAUAUGUCCUUGCUUUUGACUAUAUGUGAAACACACACAUCACUUCCUAAAAUAAAAGGCAUGUUCUAUUGUGCUUGGAAAUUAC